GCUUGAGGGGACUGCGGAGC
This 20-nucleotide ribosomal RNA is filed under the name Terfezia claveryi. Its description in RNAcentral is "partial 18S ribosomal RNA". Lineage: Eukaryota; Fungi; Ascomycota; Pezizomycetes; Pezizales; Pezizaceae. The record is from RNAcentral.